This 253-nucleotide ribosomal RNA is filed under the name uncultured bacterium. RNAcentral's name for it is "partial 16S ribosomal RNA". It matches the Rfam family "Bacterial small subunit ribosomal RNA", at positions 524 to 776 of the family's 1533-position model. The record is from RNAcentral.
UACGUAGGGUGCAAGCGUUAAUCGGAAUUACUGGGCGUAAAGCGCACGCAGGCGGCCGAGUAAGUCUGACGUGAAAUCUCCCGGCUUAACCGGGAGCGGUCGUUGGAAACUACUUGGCUUGAGGCGAUGAGAGGGGUGUGGAAUUCCCGGUGUAGUGGUGGAAUGCGUAGAUAUCGGGAGGAACAUCAGUGGCGAAAGCGGCACCCUGGCAUUAGCCUGACGCUCAGGUGCGAAAGCGUGGGGAGCGAACGGG